RNAcentral lists this long non-coding RNA (1136 nucleotides) under Homo sapiens (human). RNAcentral's name for it is "long independently transcribed non-coding RNA 3150 (LINC03150)". The record is from RNAcentral. Lineage: Eukaryota; Metazoa; Chordata; Mammalia; Primates; Hominidae.
GAUAAAGCUUCAUAAGAGGAGAAACUAAGAAAAUAUUAUUUUUGAUUUUCUACAUAGACAAUUAUACCUCUGUGAACAAAGACAGUUUAUUUCUUCCUUCCCAGAGAUUGAGAGAGCAAGAAUCGUAGAUAUGAUAGCAACUACAAGAAACUUUGGCUCCAUUCUACACGACGGUUCUACCUCUGACUUAAAACUAGGGUAGGCUUCCUUAUUGCUCCUCAUUGCCAUUUCUGGAACAUUCUCUUCCUUUCUUCCCUAAUAACUACUAGCUUUAGUCACAUAAGCCACCAACUAUUAUAAUCAUCAUCUAAUUCCUAGAGUCAUUUUCUCCGAUUUCUCAAAGAAACCCUAGAAUACGUCACUCUCCCCGAAACUUUUCCUUAUUUAAUUCUUACUUAUUUUAAUGUCCAUAUAAAUAAACUUCUAAUCUCCUGGCUUCUUACUUGAACACCUCCACACCAAUACUUUUGAUUUCCAUUCUACUUCAGCAGCUUAUCUUCAUGAACAUGCUCUAACUUUUCCAUGUGAUAUGUCUAUUUCAGUGUUAAGUAUCCAUCCCUCCACAUUUACCAUCUUCUACUAGUCCUUUGACUCCAACAGUCCUUCAACCACAACAAUACCAUUGAUCUAUAAACUUUUCUCUAUUGCUCAUCUCGUCAUAUGUUGAGACUUCUCUCCUCACUCAAACUAAAAUCCAACGUCAUAAUUAUACUAAUUAUUUUGAACAUAACCUCAUAGGCCUUACAAAUUUUUGCCCUUUAUAUUUGCUUGGUAAAAUCCCAACCCUGGUUAAAUACUAAUGAAGCUUAACUUACCUGGAGAAAAAUGGAUAGCCUUACGGACUGAUCUCAUUUAAAAUCCUAUUUUCUUUAAUGUGUCUUUACCUAUCCAGUUAUCCUACUAUUUCCCUGGCCCAUUCAGUUUUUCACUUCUUAAAAUUCUGUAUUAUUCUUCUCCUUUCUCUUUAAAUUUUCAACGCCGUUUCACUCUCACUUGCAACUUGUGCUCAUUAUUUUAUGAGAAAAUUAUUAAAGAAAUAAGAUAAGACAUUCCACAAGCUUCCCUCAACUCAUUCAUCUAUCCUGUGUUACAUCUGAAAUAUGUUUCCUGCUUCUGUUCUCCCCAUAUACCAGAGA